Canis lupus familiaris (dog) is the source of this 90-nucleotide non-coding RNA. NCBI's taxonomy places the organism in Eukaryota, Metazoa, Chordata, Mammalia, Carnivora, Canidae. The record is from Rfam.
GGGGGGAGCACUGGAUCUUGGGCUGUGUCCCGGCGUCCUGUGCUUCCGGGCCUGUGCUGUUGGAAUGGAGCUCCCCCCGCGCAGCCCCUU